GACGAACGCUGGCGGCGCGCCUAACACAUGCAAGUCGAGCGAGAACCGGGACUUCGGUCCCGGGGGCAGCGGCGAACGGGUGCGUAACACGUGAGCAACCUGCCCCGAAGACCGGGACAACCCGAGGAAACUCGGGCUAAUACCGGAUGCCCUCACCGGGUCGCAUGGUCUGGUGAGGAAAUGGAUUCCGCUUCGGGAUGGGCUCGCGGUCUAUCAGCUUGUUGGUGGGGUAACGGCCUACCAAGGCGACGACGGAUAGCUGGUCUGAGA
RNAcentral lists this ribosomal RNA (270 nucleotides) under uncultured bacterium. Its description in RNAcentral is "partial 16S ribosomal RNA". It matches the Rfam family "Bacterial small subunit ribosomal RNA", at positions 28 to 297 of the family's 1533-position model. The record is from RNAcentral.